AGAGUUUGAUCCUGGCUCAGAUUGAACGCUGGCGGUAUGCUUAAGACAUGCAAGUCGUGCGGUAGAAGGCUUCGGCCUUUGAGAGCGGCGGACGGGUGAGUAACACGUGGGAAUCUGCCUAUUAGUGGGGGACAGCCCAGCGAAAGCUGGAUUAAUACCGCAUACGCCCUACGGGGGAAAGCAGCAAUGCGCUAAUAGAUGAGCCCGCGUAAGAUUAGCUAGUUGGUAAGGUAAAGGCUUACCAAGGCGACGAUCUUUAGCUGGUCUGAGAGGAUGGCCAGCCACAUCGGGACUGAGACACGGCCCGGACUCCUACGGGAGGCAGCAGUCGGGAAUAUUGGACAAUGGGCGCAAGCCUGAUCCAGCAAUACCGCGUGUGUGAAGAAGGCCUGCGGGUUGUAAAGCACUUCCAGUUGGGAAGAUAAUGACGUUACCAACAGAAGAAGCACCGGCUAACUCCGUGCCAGCAGCCGCGGUAAUACGGAGGGUGCAAGCGUUAAUCGGAAUUACUGGGCGUAAAGCGUGCGUAGGCGGCCUGUUAAGUCAGAUGUGAAAGCCCCGGGCUUAACCUGGGAACUGCAUCUGAUACUGGGAGGCUAGAAUGUGGGAGAGGAGAGUGGAAUUUCCGGUGUAGCGGUGAAAUGCAUAGAGAUCGGAAGGAACACCAGUGGCGAAGGCGGCUCUCUGGACCAACAUUGACGCUGAGGCACGAAAGCGUGGGUAGCAAACAGGAUUAGAUACCCUGGUAGUCCACGCCGUAAACGAUGUCAACUAGCCGCCGGCCUCACUCUAGAGGUCGGUGGUGCAGCUAACGCAUUAAGUUGACCGCCUGGGGAGUACGGCCGCAAGGUUGAAACUCAAAGGAAUUGACGGGGGCCCGCACAAGCGGUGGAGCAUGUGGUUUAAUUCGAUGCAACGCGAAGAACCUUACCUGGUCUUGACAUGUAGUGAACUUAGCAGAAAUGUUUUGGUGCCUUCGGGAACACUAACACAGGUGCUGCACGGCUGUCGUCAGCUCGUGUCGUGAGAUGUUGGGUUAAGUCCCGCAACGAGCGCAACCCCUGUCACUAGUUGCCAUCAUUCAGUUGGGGACUCUAGUGAGACUGCCUACGCAAGUAGAGAGGAAGGUGGGGAUGACGUCAAAUCAUCACGGCCCUUACGUCUUGGGCCACACACGUAAUACAAUGGCCGGUACAGAGGGCAGCUACACAGCGAUGUGAUGCAAAUCUCGAAAGCCGGUUUCAGUUCGGAUUGGAGUCUGCAACUCGACUCUAUGAAGCUGGAAUCGCUAGUAAUCGCGCAUCAGCCAUGGCGCGGUGAAUACGUUCCCGGGCCUUGUACACACCGCCCGUCAAGCCAUGGAAGCUGGGGGUACCUGAAGUCGGUGACCGUAAAAGGAGCUGCCUAGGGUAAAACUAGUAACUAGGGCUAAGUCGUAACAAGGUAACC
This 1449-nucleotide ribosomal RNA is filed under the name uncultured bacterium. RNAcentral describes it as "bacterial SSU rRNA". It matches the Rfam family "Bacterial small subunit ribosomal RNA". The record is from RNAcentral.